UUAUUUUUUCUAGAUUCAAAGAAAUAAAUUUUCUUCUUUAUUUACUAAUUUAUCUCAAUCAAUUCAUCAUAACUUAAUUCUUUCUUAUCUUCUCCAAUUCUUUACCUAAGCUACUAUAAAGUUUAGCAACCUGACUUCUACUCUUCUGAAUCAAAACUCUAGUAAAUUCUUUCAAAUGCAUGGAAGAUGUUUGGGAGAGUAAUGAGACUCUUUUUUUAAUUGCUGAGGAUUAUACAUAACCCAUAAUAUAUCUCUGUCAAAUUCAAAGAAAUAAAUUCUCUUCUUUAUUUACUAAUUUAUCUCAAUCAAUUCAUCAUAACUUAAUUCUUUCUUAUCUUCUUCAAUUCUUUACUUAAGC
Long non-coding RNA from Gordionus sp. m RMFG-2023, 358 nucleotides. RefSeq lists it as uncharacterized. The transcript has 3 exons. NCBI's taxonomy places the organism in Eukaryota, Metazoa, Nematomorpha, Gordioida, Chordodea, Parachordodidae. The record is from RefSeq and is a predicted model, not a curated record.